This is a long non-coding RNA of Sarcophilus harrisii (Tasmanian devil), 2185 nucleotides long. The record is from Ensembl. Lineage: Eukaryota; Metazoa; Chordata; Mammalia; Dasyuromorphia; Dasyuridae.
GUGGUCCCGAGGUAGCGCGCGCACCGCCCCGGUCUCGCGUAUCUUGGAAGCGCGUGUACGGAGAGCCAAAGCUUCGGCCCCGGGAGAACAGAAAAACCACCCCUCGUCUCCUCCUCCUUAUUCAAGAGGGGCUACGACCAAGGGGGCAUAAGGCGGGAAAGGAAGCCCGCUAGAGGAGUUGCUCCUCCUUUUGCUAUCCCGGUCUUGAACCUACCCAUCUUCGGGUCACGGUGCGGCCAGUGCCCGUAAUUUCCCCCACCCCUCCGGGCACCAAAGCGGCGGGAGGGCGGAGGUAGUUCCAAGGAUCUGACCCAGGGGCCACCGAGAGAGGAAUGGGGGUAGGAGAAGGGUGUCCGACUAAGGGAGAGGGGCGAUGACACGUGGGGAAAAAAAGGGUCCAAGACCUGGAGGUAGGUGUAAGAAAAGAGUGAGUGGAAGGAUGGUGUCGGGCUUGGGCGGCGGCCUGGGGGUUACAGGGGUGGAAGCGUCGGGCUGGGGCCAUGGACUAGACGGGUUAAUCGCGCAGGACGCUGCUGCGUUCCGACAGUUUCACUUCUGCCGCUUGUUUUUGUUCCAUUGUGAACCGCGCCGUCGCCGCCGAGAGCCCGGAUGAUGACGUCAACCAGCCCCCUCCCCCCUUUUCCCGGCUUGGGGGAAGGAGGAGAUUCACGCGACUCCCCAGCGGAACUCGGGGCGAAGAGGCGUCGCUGAUUGGGUGUUUCUUCUCUCUCUCCCCCACCCCCGUCAUGUUGCUUAUUGCUGAGACGGAGCCUUUCGGGGGAGGGCGCCGAAAUGGGGGGUUAGAAAUGCUGUAUCCUAUCGUACUGUGCCGGUCUGUGCGGAGUAGAUAGGGAGAGGGGCGGCUGACAGAUCGGGCGCUGUUUAGCGUCCGUAUGUCUCGGUUGGAAGCGCACUCUGCCGCCAGCCCUUGGGAGGAGGAGCCCAGCCGGGAGUUUGCUUCAGCUUAGCCGCUUCCACCUCGCGCCUUUCUUGCUUCUGGUCUGGGGCUUGUUCUCUCGGCAGCAGCCCAGCGGAGUUUCUAAACCGUCUCCUCAAAGGAAAAAAUGCAAGCUUGUAAAAUCUAGUAAAGAGGAGGAAGAGAACGAGAGCCGUGCUCACUAUUCAAGGUUGCUUUUGGUCAUGAGUUGUUACUGUGUUGGUCGUGUUUUAAAUGAGUUGAAAUUUGAGUAUUCAUUAAAUUCAGGUUUUUAGGAAAUAGUACUCCAUGCAUAAAAUAGUGUCACUUAACUCUUCGCCUUAGAUUCUUCUGUAAAAUGAAAAUAAUAGUUCCCAGAGUAGUAAGGGCGAAAUUAUAUUUAUAAAACAUUUUGCAAACCUUCAAUGCGGAGGUUGUGACUGUCUAUUAAGCCUGUCAAAAUUGAAAUUUUGUGUAAAAGCGCUGAUGCUUACCAAAUGGCAUCUUAAGUUACAGAGAGUCUUUAUCCUUGAAAUUUUGUGUGGGAGCGGUUGAAAGACUUUAGGACCCUAUGGAAAGAACGGAGACUAAGGACUCAGACCACCUGGUGCAAAUGGGUACUUGGCCUCCGUGGACCAGUUUCUUCCUCUAUGACAUGAGGUAGCUUUCUCAAGACCCAAGAAACAUCAGGUGGUUCCAUCGCUGAUUGUGCCCACCACUGAAAGAGCAUGGCAGUUAUGGCGAUUGACGCUGGAUAUCAAAAAUUGUUGAACUUCAAAACCCUCAGGAAUCAUUGGAAUCCCUGAAACAUGAUAAGACUGUUGCAGGACUUCAAAAACUUGCAGAGAUCAAUGGAUUCCCUGACACAUGAAAUAAUGGACAAUAGAUUGGUUUUGGACUAUCUCUUGGCUGCUGAAGAAGGUAUAUGUGUGACUGUUGUUUACAUAUCCUCCUUUUAGGACUUUUGGAAAUCGCUUACAACACCAUAUUGAUUCACAUUGUUUGUUAUAUCACUACUUGCAUGUACAAUUCGUGUUUGUUAAACCACAUUGAGCCUACACCGGCUGUGAGGAGAGUCAUCACUACUAGCCUGUGCUUUAUUUCUAUGUGCUUGUGUAAUACCUCCCAUGCUGGUGGAUUUGCAUAUACCUACUUCUAGUAAGACCCUUCAGCCUAGAAACCCUCUAACAAUAUCUGGUUUGACUCCUCACUUCCCUUUAGUAUUUUUCAUCUCUCUUCCUGAAAAGUCAGGGAGGGCAUGACCACCUA